RNAcentral lists this ribosomal RNA (253 nucleotides) under uncultured bacterium. RNAcentral describes it as "partial 16S ribosomal RNA". It matches the Rfam family "Bacterial small subunit ribosomal RNA", at positions 524 to 776 of the family's 1533-position model. The record is from RNAcentral.
GACAGAGGGGGCAAGCGUUGCUCGGAAUCACUGGGCGUAAAGGGCGCGUAGGCGGGAUGGCAAGUCAGUCGUGAAAUCUCUCGGCUCAACCGAGAAACGUCGGCUGAUACUGCCGUUCUUGAGGGAUGCAGAGGAGACUGGAAUUCCCGGUGUAGCGGUGAAAUGUGUAGAGAUCGGGAGGGACACCGGUGGCGAAGGCGGGUCUCUGGGCAUUUCCUGACGCUGAGGCGCGAAAGCGUGGGGAGCAAACGGG